AUUGUGCUUUGGAAAAAUCAAACGUAGCCUUGAGUUUUAAAAUUAUUAAGCUUACACUUUUUCACAAAAUAGAAAUGGAGUAAUAUAGCUCUGUCCUUCCGUUUUUUAAAGCCAAAAAAUGUAAGAAUGGAAUGUACUGGCUCACUGCUCCCACGGUGUCCUUACCAGCACAACUUACCCCAUCCCUCCCUAGCCCACUCUUGAGGAUACUUUCUUGCCACUGUCAGGCUUACUCCUGCCUCCUAGACUGAGGAAAGAAAAGCCUCCUGGUUUGGAGCUCAUAAUCAAGUCAGCCUUGCUGCAGGGCUCAUUUUAAGCCAGUAUCCUGGACCAGAUAAGGAAGCUGAAGCUUUGAGAAUUUAAUUUGCUCAAGGGGAGGCCAGGACAAGAAAUAAUGAAGAGUCCGAUGUGGCAGGAAUGUAGGAAACAAGUCAAUGAUGGAAGAUAAAUAUGGAGACGUGAUGAAGGCAAAAUUCUGAAGGGUCUUAGAGCCCAUUAUAAGACGUUUGGUUUUUAUGAUGCCAUUAAGAAUAUUUAAUUCAUGGGAGGAGGUCAAAAUAUCAACAUUAGCUGGAUUUUGGAAAAAGUGGAUUCCAACCCUCAGUGGACGACUUUGUGGAAUUCAAGACUCCAAUAGAGGAAGUCACCACAAAUAGCAAAAGAACAAGAAUUACCUGUGCAGCCUGAAGACGGGACUGAAUUGCUGCAAUUGUAACAUCAAAUGUUAAAUCUGAACCAGACCAUGUCCUGAAACAAAAGAGGAAGAAUCUUUGGGGAGCUGUGCUGAUGGUUUUGGAUUUCUCCAAAGGAAGAAUGCUUUGCCUGAGUCUUGUAUCCUUGGAAUUAUUAGGAAUGUUUGCCAUUAAAUAAGAUCUGAUUCAUGUGAGUUUGAGUUGACAGCUCUACCCUAUGUGUUAUCUCAGAACUCUAUACAGCAAACUAUAGAAUAUUGUUGAGAUAAAUUAAAUGAAACCUUUCCAAAUGGAAAGAUAUAUAUCAUUUUAUAGAUUGGAAAACUUAAUACUAAAAAGUGAUAGAUUCAAUACAAUGGAAUCUAUUGUUUCUAAAAUGUGCAUUUGUGUUAGUUUAUGUAUGUAUAUAAAAAUUGAAAAGCUAAUUUUAAAAAUACACAUGAAAAUAAAAGGGCCAAGAAGAACUGAGACAUUCUUGUGGAAGAUGUCAAUUCUUGCUGUACAGAUGCUAAGAUUACUAUAAGGCUUUAGUCAUUAAGGCAGAGUGGUAUUCCCUCAAAAAUUGACACACCACUGAAACAGAAUUGAAGGACAAAAAAGCCUCUACAUAAUUAUAGACACUUAAUUUAUGAUAACCAUGUCACUGAAGUUCACAUAGGACAGUUAUUUCAAUAAAUAUUAUUGAGACUGUGCAAGUAAAUAGAUAAAUUGGUAUAUAGGCAGACUCCUGUCCCACACAAUCCAUCAAAAUCAGCUC
This 1449-nucleotide long non-coding RNA is filed under the name Homo sapiens (human). Its description in RNAcentral is "HSALNT0364618". The record is from RNAcentral. Lineage: Eukaryota; Metazoa; Chordata; Mammalia; Primates; Hominidae.